GAUGAACGCUGGCGGCGUGCCUAAUACAUGCAAGUCGAGCGAACAGACGAGGAGCUUGCUCCUCUGACGUUAGCGGCGGACGGGUGAGUAACACGUGGAUAACCUACCUAUAAGACUGGGAUAACUUCGGGAAACCGGAGCUAAUACCGGAUAAUAUAUUGAACCGCAUGGUUCAAUAGUGAAAGACGGUUUUGCUGUCACUUAUAGAUGGAUCCGCGCCGCAUUAGCUAGUUGGUAAGGUAACGGCUUACCAAGGCAACGAUGCGUAGCCGACCUGAGAGGGUGAUCGGCCACACUGGAACUGAGACACGGUCCAGACUCCUACGGGAGGCAGCAGUAGGGAAUCGUCCGCAAUGGGCGAAAGCCUGACGGAGCAACGCCGCGUGAGUAAUGAAGGUCUUCGGAUCGUAAAACUCUGUUAUUAGGGAAGAACAAAUGUGUAAGUAACUAUGCACGUCUUGACGGUACCUAAUCAGAAAGCCACGGCUAACUACGU
This 496-nucleotide ribosomal RNA is filed under the name uncultured bacterium. RNAcentral describes it as "partial 16S ribosomal RNA". It matches the Rfam family "Bacterial small subunit ribosomal RNA", at positions 28 to 506 of the family's 1533-position model. The record is from RNAcentral.